This is a long non-coding RNA of Lontra canadensis (Northern American river otter), 142 nucleotides long. RefSeq lists it as uncharacterized. The record is from RefSeq and is a predicted model, not a curated record. NCBI's taxonomy places the organism in Eukaryota, Metazoa, Chordata, Mammalia, Carnivora, Mustelidae. The transcript has 3 exons.
GCUUAACCGACUGAGCCACCCAGGCGUCCCACCAGCAAAACCAUUUUGACUCGGGUUUCGGUAUCUGCAAUGGAGCCAGAACCCCUGUUGUCUUUUCUGGGGAUGGAUAGCCCUGAAAGACAGGCUUUGGAUUCAUGCUUCU